UACGGGGGGUGCGAGCGUUGUCCGGAAUCACUGGGCGUAAAGGGCGCGUAGGUGGUUUGAUAAGGGUGUGGUGAAAGCCCGGGGCUCAACCCCGGGUCUGCCGUGCCGACUGUCAAACUCGAGGGCUGUAGAGGCAGACGGAAUUCCGGGAGUAGCGGUGGAAUGCGUAGAGAUCCGGAGGAAGACCGGUGGCGAAGGCGGUCUGCUGGGCAGUUUCUGACACUGAGGCGCGACAGCGUGGGGAGCAAACAGG
Molecule: ribosomal RNA, 253 nt
Filed under: uncultured bacterium
Lineage: Bacteria
Description: partial 16S ribosomal RNA
Rfam family: Bacterial small subunit ribosomal RNA
Source: RNAcentral